Molecule: long non-coding RNA, 434 nt
Organism: Catharus ustulatus (Swainson's thrush)
Lineage: Eukaryota; Metazoa; Chordata; Aves; Passeriformes; Turdidae
Exons: 3
Source: RefSeq, a predicted model, not a curated record
UUAUUUCAAAGACUUGCCAAUUAAUACUGGUUGUCUCCCGUCCUAAAAGCUACACAAACAUAGAGAAAGAAACGGUCCCUUCUCUGAAGGUCUUCCCUGAUGAUCUAAAACAAGAAGGAGCUGAUGGAGAUGUACUAAAAUAGGCCUUGCAGGAAUCUCUAAUCCAUGCCAGCUGCAUCUGCCUUCAAAAUCCUUCUUCCAAACGAUCUUCUCGCUGCAAUGUCUGAAGGAAACCUUGUCAAAGGAACCUAGCUUGAUAGAUGCAGUGUAAAGUAGGUAUGUGACUCCUCAAGGGGGCUAAAGUUACACCCAGGAAGGGUUGGAGCACUCAGUGAAACGUGCCUGCCAUUCUGAGCACUUAGGACGGUAUGCCAGGAAUCAUAGGGAAUCACACCGGCACACCAGCGCGUGAGUGAGAGGUGAGAGGGCUUUCU